CGGCGCACGGGUGAGUAACACGUAUCCAACCUGCCGUCUACUCUUGGACAGCCUUCUGAAAGGAAGAUUAAUACAAGAUGGCAUCAUGAGUCCGCAUGUUCACAUGAUUAAAGGUAUUCCGGUAGACGAUGGGGAUGCGUUCCAUUAGAUAGUAGGCGGGGUAACGGCCCACCUAGUCUUCGAUGGAUAGGGGUUCUGAGAGGAAGGUCCCCCACAUUGGAGCUGAGACACGGUCCAAACUCCUACGGGAGGCAGCAGUGAGGAAUAUUGGUCAAUGGGCGAGAGCCUGAACCAGCCAAGUAGCGUGAAGGAUGACUGCCCUAUGGGUUGUAAACUUCUUUUAUAAAGGAAUAAAGUCGGGUAUGCAUACCCGUUUGCAUGUACUUUAUGAAUAAGGAUCGGCUAACUCCGUGCCAGCAGCCGCGGUAAUACGGAGGAUUCGAGCGUUAUCCGGAUUUAUUGGGUUUAAAGGGAGCGUAGAUGGAUGUUUAAGUCAGUUGUGAAAGUUUGCGGCUCAACCGUAAAAUUGCAGUUGAUACUGGAUAUCUUGAGUGCAGUUGAGGCAGGCGGAAUUCGUGGUGUAGCGGUGAAAUGCUUAGAUA
Molecule: ribosomal RNA, 602 nt
Filed under: uncultured Bacteroidales bacterium
Lineage: Bacteria; Pseudomonadati; Bacteroidota; Bacteroidia; Bacteroidales
Description: bacterial SSU rRNA
Rfam family: Bacterial small subunit ribosomal RNA
Source: RNAcentral